CAAUUUCAGCCCAAUUCAUGGGAUCACGGCCCACAUUUUCACCAACGUUUAAAAAUUCAAUUUCGAAUAUCAUAUUCAAAUUCGAUUUUAAAUUUUUAAACCCCCAGAAAAUAUCUAUUAUCCUAAUAACCCUAUUCGAAAUUCGAUUUUGAACUUCGAACCAACUCCCAAAAUAUCUCUCAACCAACAUUCGUUUGAAUUUUGAAUACCUAUCCAUCCCACAACCCAUUCAAAAUUCAAUUUUGAAUUUCGAAUCCCCAACCAACAUCCAUUCGAAUUUUGAAUACCUAACCACCCAACAACCGAUUCAAAAUUCGAUUUCCCUAACCGACUCCCCAAAAUAUCCUUCAACCAUCCAACAACCCAUUCAAAAUUCGAUUUUGAAUUUUGAAUCCCUAACCGACUCACCAAAAUAUCCUUCAACUAUCCAACAACCCAUUCAAAAUUCGAUUUCGAAUUUCGAAUUUCUAAAAUAUCCUCCAACAACCCAUUCAAAAUUCAAUUUCGAAUUUCGAAUCCCUAACCAAUUUCCAAAAUAUCCUCCAACAACCCAUUCAAUAUUCGAUUUUGAAUUUCGAAUUCUCAACCAAUUCCCAAAAUAUCCUCCAACAACCCAUUCAAAAUUCGAAUUUCGAAUUUUGAAUUCCAACCAAUUUCCAAAAUACCCUCCAACCAUUCAACAACCCAUUCAAAAUUUGAUUUCGAAUUUUGAAUUUCCAACCAAUCCCAAAUAUCUUUCAACCAACCACAACUGUCACGCCCCGGGACCGGCG
This 773-nucleotide long non-coding RNA is filed under the name Ananas comosus (pineapple). Its description in RNAcentral is "long non-coding RNA (ACOM_LNC038717)". Lineage: Eukaryota; Viridiplantae; Streptophyta; Magnoliopsida; Poales; Bromeliaceae. The record is from RNAcentral.